GCCAGGUGCGGUGGUGCACACCUGUAAUCCCAGUGUCUUGGGAGGUUGAGACAGGAGGAUUGUGAGUUCAAAGCCAGCCUCAGCAAUGAUGAGGCUCUAAGCAACUCAGUGAGACCCUGUCUCUG
This 125-nucleotide small RNA is filed under the name Marmota monax (woodchuck). Lineage: Eukaryota; Metazoa; Chordata; Mammalia; Rodentia; Sciuridae. The record is from RNAcentral.